CUAGCAUAAUGUUGAUAGAGAGAUAUAUUUCUUUAGUUUUUCUCUACAUGGUGGGAACCCAAAAGUUCCUUGAGAUCUCAUAUGUACAUGCCAAAAGGAGAGGCGAGGAGAAACUCUGCUUUAGAGUUUUAUUUAAUUAAUUAAUUACUAUCACUAAACUGUUGGAGAAUUAUUAUUGAUCUUGCUUACUGAGGAUUAGAAUCUUAACGGUCCAUAAUUGAAGAGCUCCUGACUGCACAAUAUUAUUCUUUUCUUUCAUAAAAAGAUCAUUUCCAAAGUGGUGGCGAAUGAUAUCGCGGAUGACGAUCAGACACUUGACUAUGACUCCAAACACGACGUUCCGCAGAUUUUGCCUGUGGGCUGUGGACAUGAAAUAUGUUUGCGAGAAUGAUUAAUAUGCGUGAUAUUUGAAACAUACAACACUACUUAAAGCUACAAAAGCUAAUGAAAGAAUUUCUAAAUUCAAGAGGCAGACUAAAUAUCUCCUGUAUCUGCUAUAUAUGUAUGAGAUCAUGUACAUUCAUUUGAGCUCUGUGUUCAACGGAACAGUGAGAAACGAAAAAAAAGAAGGUAAAUUCGGCACAGCUAAUAUUCACUUGUGACCAGCUCCUCUUCUGCUGGGACCAGACGCUAGCGUAUAUACCUGACCAUCUCCAGCAAGAAGGUCUUUCGUAGGAUUCGGAACUUUGGUAUUCGCGGUGAUCUCGCUCGUGUUUUUGGAGACCGCAGCCUCCUUUGUUGCUGAAGUAGUUGAAUCAAGAAGCAUUCUAGAAUGCACAACACUCGGUUGGCAGAUCAUGAUCAUCAUCGAAAUCGCGAUCAUCAUCACACAGCAAUAUGAUAUCUUUGAUAUUGCCAUCGAGUUUCCUCUUGUUUCUCUUGUAAAGUUCUUGUGUAUCUUGGUGUAAUAAGUAUCUUUGUAGUGUUGAGCAAAUGGAAUUCUUGUGUAUUUUGGUGUGAUAAGUAUCUUUGGAGAGUUGAGCAAAAAGAAUGGUGCAGCAUCUCCCUAGCAUAUGGAAAGCGCUUUAUAUAAGAAAAUGGUUCGGUUGGGCGAGGAGUGAGGACGGUGACGAGCUUUUUGGGUCUGGGCCCUAAGUGUUAUAUGGUUAGUUUGACUAAGAUUUUUGGUUGGUAGAGGGAGGGUGGUCACUUUGAAACGCUGCUUUUCAUUCACAUUUAUGCCGAUUCUUGUCCCUUAAAUCCCCUUCGAUAUUGACAUUUUCCAAUCAUG
This 1231-nucleotide long non-coding RNA is filed under the name Daucus carota (carrot). RNAcentral's name for it is "long non-coding RNA (DCAR_LNC002204)". The record is from RNAcentral. Lineage: Eukaryota; Viridiplantae; Streptophyta; Magnoliopsida; Apiales; Apiaceae.